Molecule: non-coding RNA, 89 nt
Organism: Xylariales sp. AK1849
Lineage: Eukaryota; Fungi; Ascomycota; Sordariomycetes; Xylariales
Source: the annotation of a GenBank genome assembly
GCCCUUUUAGCUCAUCGGUAGAGCGCGUCACUAGUAUCCUUAUUCCCUAGAACAUGACGAGGUGACUGGUUCGAUUCCAGUAAAGGGCA